GCACCCGUAGCUCAGUGGAUAGAGCGAUGGCCUCCGGAGCCGUGUGCGUGGGUUCAAUUCCCGUCGGGUGCG
This 72-nucleotide transfer RNA is filed under the name Lachnospiraceae bacterium. RNAcentral's name for it is "tRNA-Arg". It matches the Rfam family "tRNA". From Rfam's summary of the family: Transfer RNA (tRNA) molecules are approximately 80 nucleotides in length. Their secondary structure includes four short double-helical elements and three loops (D, anti-codon, and T loops). RNAcentral also lists the same sequence under 1 other name. The record is from RNAcentral. Lineage: Bacteria; Bacillati; Bacillota; Clostridia; Lachnospirales; Lachnospiraceae.